Molecule: ribosomal RNA, 301 nt
Filed under: uncultured bacterium
Lineage: Bacteria
Description: partial 16S ribosomal RNA
Rfam family: Bacterial small subunit ribosomal RNA
Source: RNAcentral
CAGUCGCCACGGUAAUACGUAGGUGGCAAGCGUUGUCCGGAAUUAUUGGGCGUAAAGGGCUCGCAGGCGGUUUCUUAAGUCUGAUGUGAAAGCCCCCGGCUCAACCGGGGAGGGUCAUUGGAAACUGGGAAACUUGAGUGCAGAAGAGGAGAGUGGGAUUCCACGUGUAGCGGUGAAAUGCGUAGAGAUGUGGAGGAACACCAGUGGCGAAGGCGACUCUCUGGUCUGUAACUGACGCUGAGGAGCGAAAGCGUGGGGAGCGAACAGGAUUAGAUACCCCCGUAGUCCCUGUCUCUUAUAC